Camelina sativa (false flax) is the source of this 454-nucleotide non-coding RNA. NCBI's taxonomy places the organism in Eukaryota, Viridiplantae, Streptophyta, Magnoliopsida, Brassicales, Brassicaceae. The record is from RefSeq and is a predicted model, not a curated record.
UGUUGCAGCUUCUCUAGAUGAUGGAGAUAUAUAUUUAUGGUGGUUCACUUCCUUCCCAUUAAUGUUUAGGAUGAUGCUGAGUUAUGGACAAAAACGAUGGCAAAGAAGUCCUCUUCUUAUUGCUAUGUGCUACUGAAGUGUGAAGGAUUAUGACCUAAACCAUGGAGUACUCCUCUUCUUGCUUUCUGUGCUACUGAAGUUGAAACUCGACAAGGCACCAAAAUUCAAAGAAGCACCCGUUGAACAUUAAGGUACUUGUCAUUCCCUCAUCCCAACAAUUCCCUUCCACAGGUGUGUGUUCGUGUGUUCCAGCCAGAUUAUUUGGAGGAUGACGUAGAUUCAGACCAAAAAUGGUCGCGGGUGGUCGUUCUUACAGUGACAACAUCAAACCGAUUUUUAAAGGCGUGUGCGUGUGCAUGUUCCAAAUCUCAUUUGAAUUUUUGCCUUUACUCAG